AAAACUGGUGUGGCUUUGAAGACCUUAUUUAUAUAAAUAUCAUGAAACAACAUUGAGAAGAUAAGUUAUUGUCUAAAAAAAUCAAAUUAUCCACUCCCGUUUUAAAUUGUAAAAAUAUAUUGAUCCUGGGUGAUGAAUUUGGUUACAGGUUGACGCAUAAACUCAUCCAAUACGGCGAAAAGCGUUUUGACAGUCCGUUGAAGAAAUAUAAACAGGACUCACUAUCAGUUAUGCCAUGCGAGACAUGAUACAAUCAAAAGUAAGCUGUGCCGUGUGUAGAUAUUGGAUUCGGCAUAUGAUCAGCUGGUGACUGAUAUCCAUCUGCGACCUUAUUCUGAGAGAUGUUUUGAAGAUCUCCUAAGAUCCUUCGAAAAAUUGAUGUCAAAGUGAACUGCAUUUGGAGAAGGCAUAGCUAUGGAUCGUUUCAGAGAGUUGUCCGAAUCACUAUUGAAAGAUAUGAAGGACUUUGACCUGGACCCACCAUUCAUGUUUGUAAGGCCUGAUGUCAGACAGAUUGGUCGAGUGAGAGAUUUGGUAUGCGAUGGAAAACUGAUGUCAUGACUCUGGAGGUUUCCCUUGUUACAGGUUGUACGGCAUUCCAUUCUGUUCAUAUAAAAGAGGAGUCAAUAUCAGUAAUGCCUUGCGACAUGAUCCAAUGAAAAAUAAGUUGACAACUGGUGCAGUGAUUUGAUUCUCUUCCACAUAAUAUCAUCCAGACUCCAAACCUUGAUGGCAUUGAAUUUUUCUGUAUCAUCAAUGGAGAUACCAAAUCCAAAAGUUUUGCCAACGACCUCCACAAGUUCAGCUGAUCAAGGUACAUGUUGUUGCAGUGGAGAUUAGAUUGUGUUAUUGAUGUUUCGGUCACGAAAUUCAUUUUGUAGCCAUGGCUGGUGUGUCUGUAAGUUCCAGAUGGUAGACUUAAGCGAAAGUUAGUAAUAACUAUCCACUCUCCAACACGACAAUGCAUCUGGAAUCGCUGCAAUAAUGAACUAUUGCAACUGGCCUGGAUUUUAACACCCUAUAUAAUACCAUUUCAAGAGAAGAACCAAUUUGGGAAUCGAUUGACAUCCAUGUAUGAAGCACUUUGACUUGGACUCUCCAGGAUGAUUUAAAAGGAUGAAUAUCACUCAGGUUGCUGAUUCGGAUAAAGGACUCCAUAAGUUUUAAAUGACGAUAGAUAGUUGUGAGUUUGGAAUGAUUAUAUUUGUUGUGGUUGCAUUGAUAUUUAUAGAGUAAUUGUCGUUGGAGUAGUAAUAGGAUAAGCAAUACAAUUAAAAUUGUUGUUGAUAUGGAAUAUUCUAAGGAUAUAUGAGAUAUGUGGAGUUACAAAAUAUA
Long non-coding RNA from Raphanus sativus (radish), 1335 nucleotides. RefSeq lists it as uncharacterized. The record is from RefSeq and is a predicted model, not a curated record. The transcript has 9 exons. NCBI's taxonomy places the organism in Eukaryota, Viridiplantae, Streptophyta, Magnoliopsida, Brassicales, Brassicaceae.